UCUUCAUCAACAUGACCUUCAUCAUCAUCUUCAUCUGGACUCUCACAGCGUUUGCUCAAGAGUGUAGAGGACAGAUCACCGUCACUCAGAGUCCCUCAACGACAGCAGCUCGACCAGAAGAAACAGUCAAAAUCAGCUGUAAAACCAGCACAGAUGUGUACGUAUGGGCUAAUCGGGAUCAUUAUUUAGCCUGGUACUUACAGAAACCUGGAGAAGCUCCUAAACUCCUGAUUUACGAAGCUAACAAAACUAUACACAGGAACUCCAUCUAGAUUCAGUGGCAGUGGAUCUAACAGUGAUUUCACUCUGACCAUCAGUGGAGUCCAGACUGAAGAUGCUGGACAUUAUUACUGUCAAGAGUUUUCAUUGCAGAACAAGUGGUAGUUAUUGUGCGAGUGAUCAUGUGUUCACACAGUGA
This is a non-coding RNA of Onychostoma macrolepis, 418 nucleotides long. The record is from the annotation of a RefSeq genome assembly. Lineage: Eukaryota; Metazoa; Chordata; Actinopteri; Cypriniformes; Cyprinidae.